Molecule: non-coding RNA, 4022 nt
Organism: Anas platyrhynchos (mallard)
Lineage: Eukaryota; Metazoa; Chordata; Aves; Anseriformes; Anatidae
Source: RefSeq, a predicted model, not a curated record
UCCCAGGAGUGAUGCCCACCAGCAGCCUUCCUGCAGUAGCACAGCCCUGGCACGGCAAGGGGACGCAUUGCAGCAUCCUCUGACCCCACAGAGCCCCAGGUCUGUCGGUGCCACUCGGGGCUCGCCCCUGACUCACAUCCUUGAUUCAUCCCAGGGCAGGGCUCGGCCAGCAGCCUGGGCUGGGCUCUUCCAGCUCCCUCGCCUCGCUCCUGCCGGAGUCACCCUUUCUGCUUUGAAUUAAGAGACGGGAAGGCAAGGCGGGGAAAAGAAUCAGCAAUAAAAAGAGAUGGAGCCAGCCCUGUGCCGGAGCCCGGAGCGAUAAGCAUGCAGCAGGGAGGAGGAGGAGGAGGGAUGGGGUUGGCCACGGUCACGUGCAGGGAUCUGCUUUCAGCACGGAUGGCGUGUUUGUGGGGCAGGGAGGGUGCGACAUGGGCCCCGGCUUCCAGGAAUCCUCCGAGCACAGGAUAUGCGGCGGGGAGCGAGUAAACAUGAUACAAUAGCUGGCCUGUAACUCGAUCGGCACCCUGCGCGAGCUGCUCCCUGCCCGGGGACCUUGGCGGCUCCUCGGGGUGUCAGGGUGCCGUGUUAUUGGAUGUGGGGUGCGGGGCGAUGGGGGAGCCCCUUUUGGCACAGCAGUGGGCGAGCUUGGCUGCUUUGGCUGAGCAAAGUGGGGAGCACGAGGGGGAACCCCCAAAAAUAAAACUGGGUGCACAUGGAGCGCACAGGCUGGGCGGCACAGCCACGGGAGAGGAUUUCAGAGAGCAGCUGUGGAUUUCCAGCUAUAUUCUUCAGCUCACACUGGGGAAGGAUGGGAGCAGGCCAAUUUUUCAAGCCCUCGGCUUGAUUUCUUUGCUGCAGGCGCGGCGGGCAGGGGCUGGCUGACCCUCUGCAGGAGCAGGGUGGGUUUCUGACCACCCGCCGCUUUAUUUGUAUUUUUAGAGCGCGCCGCAGGCACGAGGUCCCCGCAGCAAGUGAAAUUCCAGCCUGCAGCUCCGUGUCCCCAUCCCGCUCCUCCGACAGCCAGCAGCUGAGCCGGGGCUCAAGUGUCCUGGGGCACGGAGGUGGGGGCCACGCUCCGGGUGCCGAAACAGCGUCACCCCGUCCCGGGGAGGGGUGGGGACCUCGGGGACGUCAAGGAGAAGGCCAGAGCGUACUGUGCUCGCUGGAGGGACCGAUGAGUCGGCAGCGUGGUGAGUCAAAAGCUGGGAAGGGCAGUGAGCGAGCAGAGGGAGAUGCAAGGGGGUUAAAGCCGGCCAGCACAUCUCCUGAAGGCGUCUCAGGGCUUGCUGAUGCAAUUCUUCUACGGCCUCUUGUCUCUCUGCUGAGAGCCACGUGGGCUGUGAGGUUUUUGGGCUGAGCACCGGCACUUUUUGCUGGCUGCAGCCCGAGUGGCAGGGUGCUCGUGGGCUGCAGGGAGGUUUUUGGGUGCCGGCAUCACUUGGGUGUGAUGCGGGAAGGGUGCGUGGCCGGCAGCGUGACACCACUGGCUGUGCACGGACCUUGUCACCAGCACCGAGGUGACACAUCCAGCCAGGGCUGGGGCUGGACGGCGAGUGACUCAAGCAGGCAGCCGUCCCAGGGCUUGAAUCACCACCGAAAGCAGCCCCUGCCUGGCUGCUGGGGCUCACAAAGCUGCCUGCUUCAUCCGUGCAUGGGUACAUACAGCCGCUGCGCACCUACGGAGCUCGCUGUGGGCUUCUUGGAGAAGCCGGGCAGCUCUGGAGCACCCAAAGCUUCCCCAAAGGACCAGAUCUGUACCACCUCCCUCUCGUGGAAGAGGGAGAAAACCCAAUAUGCUGCCAGCAGCAAUGACAGGCAUGUGGCACACACCGGGAGGUGUCAAAAGAUGCUCACGUCAGCUUUGCCAGCAGCCCCGUGCCUCCUGCCCUGACCGUGUAGGGAAGAGCACCCGAGCGAUUUGCCUUUUGGAGCCUUUUGUUUCGUGGGCCAGCUCUCACCUACGGCAAAACCGUCUGCAGGAGCAGCCAGGAGAGAGCUGUGCCCUUCCUCCCCGCUUCAAGUGACAGGUACCAGCAUUUCCCACUGCUCCUGCACGGGAGAAGUGCCACGCUUAUCUUUAGGGGCACUCAUGCCAGAGGGAACAUGAAUAUGAAACAUCCAUUCACUUGAGGGUUGGUUUGGGGAGGAAAUUUAAUUUUUUUAAGCAUUUUUUUUCUUUAAUACAUCUCUUUUUGGCAACCAGCGCAGCAUUUUCCACUUGCUCCACAGCGUGCCUGGUGGUAGCUUCCCAAAGAUGCUUAAGGAUGUGCAUCCUUGCUCUGUGGUCCUCCUUGGCAAUACCAGCACGAAUCUGUGCUGGGGGUAUAAAUCUUGCCUCUCCUGGAGGUCUGGGGCUUCUCUGGGGCUGUCGUUCCCUCUCUGAGUGUUUCUGGGGAGAGGAAGCUGCGGCUAACCUCACCGCAAGCACAAAUUAGCUGGGUUUUGUUGCUUUUUGGGUUGGUUUUUGUUUUGUGCUCGGCUCGAACAAUAAAACAUCUGUUCCCGAGCCUGGCAGCUGGAGCAGAAUGAAAUGACGUUAGCAUCAAUUAUCCUCCGGGAUGGGGAGGAUGACAGGAGAAUGGUGCAGAUUUCCUUAACGCGGAAUAACAAACGAGAACAGCUUGGCUAGGUGUUUAGUGCUCCCGGACAGCGUCCAAAUAGCAGCCCUGCUCCAGCCCUCCUGCUGGGAUGCCCCAAGUCGUGCACGGCGGCUCCCCGUGCCCGCUGGGCUCUUUGGUUGCCAAACGCGUGCCAUAGGGAGAUGCUUCUGCAGUGAUCGAAGAACAACACCCGUUUUGGUGGAAGCCAAAUGCAGAAGGGUUGCCCGUCAGCAGCAGGGACCUUUCUCAAUGCACCGCCCCCCGAGCACCCCAAAAUUUGGCUCUGCUACCACACCCAAGGCUCUGGCCGGGUCGGAUGUGCACCCAGCAGUGCUGGGGUUUGCAGCGGGACGGGAUGAUGCAGGAUCACGUUCCCUGGGCGCAGAAAGGGGCCAUUAACGGGAGGCAAGGGGGGAGCGACUCGGCACAAAGGCUGGGAUUUGUUGGCACCCGCGGGGAGCAGCUGCUGAGUGCCAGCCGGCGGCGAUGCGCGGGCGCGUGAUGCGGCCGCCUGACCCCACCAUGGGGCUGGCAGAGGGCACCGAGCUGCCCUCGGAGGAAACCCAGGCACACUCAGAUGGGCAGCAACCUGGUGGUUUUCUUCCCGAGGCCGGUGGGAGCGAUGGCCGUGUGAACUGCCCCCUCUUCAGGCAGCAGGGCUGAAGGCCUGCUCCCCGCAGCGCUCCCCAAAGCAGCACAGCUCUCCAGCUGCCCUGCGCCAUUUGGGGAGCCGGGCUCCCUCUCGGCUCUGCCCAAGGAGCCCUUGGUGAUGCCACUGGAUGCUCCUGCCCUGGAAAAAAAAAAAAAAAAAAAGCUGUAAGAGUCCCCUAACCUGGUCAAAUAAAAUCGUUGUGGUCCAUCAGACGAGCUGGUGAGCGAGGAAGAGGAUGGUCAGCUUCGCCCCCCCUGCCCAGGGGGGUUGUGUCGCCGAUGUGAAACCAUACGGAUGGCACCAGGAGGGGGACAAAGGGGCUGCAAAGGCACGUUUCAAAGCCUCUUUAUUUAUUUGUAUUUUUUUUUUCCUGCUGGAAACAGAGGGCUCGUAGCCCCAGGCAGAGCAGAGCAGCAGGGGAACCUCCAGCAGCAGCUGUUUUCCAGGCAGAACUGUCCGGCCUCCCUUGGCAUGCAGGCACAGGGAGGCUUCAUUUGGAAGGAAUCAUCCGAGCUCAGCUCCAGGCCGGCUUUGCAGCGUGCAGCAGGCGAGCGGCAGGGAUGCGAGAUGCAGGGAUCAGAGGAAAAGCUCCCCCCGGGCUGAGGGGGCCGAGGAGCAACCCCCUGCAUGCCAAUCGCCGGAGUCAUCCCCGUGGUCCUGGAAACCAGCGCCGGGUCCUGGAAACGCUGCUGGGAGAGAGGCUGCACCAUAAAUUUGAGAUGCGAGGCAGCCCCGGAGAGGCAAUAAAUACGUUGGCGUGCACGUCCACA